UGACCUCAAAUCAGGUAGGACUACCCGCUGAACUUAAGCAUAUCAAUAAGCGGAGGAAAAGAAACUAACAAGGAUUCCCCUAGUAACUGCGAGUGAAGCGGGAAAAGCUCAAAUUUAAAAUCUGGCAGCCUUUGGUUGUCCGAGUUGUAAUCUAGAGAAGUGUUAUCCGCGCUGGACCGUGUACAAGUCUCCUGGAAUGGAGCGUCAUAGAGGGUGAGAAUCCCGUCUUUGACACGGACUGCCAGGGCUUUGUGAUGCGCUCUCAAAGAGUCGAGUUGUUUGGGAAUGCAGCUCAAAAUGGGUGGUAAAUUCCAUCUAAAGCUAAAUAUUGGCGAGAGACCGAUAGCGAACAAGUACCGUGAGGGAAAGAUGAAAAGAACUUUGGAAAGAGAGUUAAACAGUACGUGAAAUUGCUGAAAGGGAAACGCUUGAAGUCAGUCGCGUUGUCCAGGGAUCAACCUUGCUUUUGCUUGGUGCACUUUCUGGUUGACGGGUCAGCAUCAAUUUUGACUAUUGGAAAAAGAUUAGGGGAAUGUGGCAUCUUUGGAUGUGUUAUAGCCCUUAGUUGCAUACAAUGGUUGGGAUUGAGGAACUCAGCACGCCGCAAGGCCGGGUUUUUAACCACGUACGUGCUUAGGAUG
This 641-nucleotide ribosomal RNA is filed under the name Cortinarius olivaceopictus. RNAcentral's name for it is "eukaryotic LSU rRNA". It matches the Rfam family "Eukaryotic large subunit ribosomal RNA", at positions 1 to 625 of the family's 3401-position model. The record is from RNAcentral. Lineage: Eukaryota; Fungi; Basidiomycota; Agaricomycetes; Agaricales; Cortinariaceae.